RNAcentral lists this unclassified non-coding RNA (358 nucleotides) under soil metagenome. Its description in RNAcentral is "partial contains 5.8S ribosomal RNA, internal transcribed spacer 2, and large subunit ribosomal RNA". The stretch from base 1 to 120 matches the Rfam family "5.8S ribosomal RNA", at positions 35 to 154 of the family's 154-position model. The record is from RNAcentral.
GAUGAAGAACGCAGCGAAAUGCGAUAAGUAAUGUGAAUUGCAGAAUUCAGUGAAUCAUCGAAUCUUUGAACGCACAUUGCGCCCGUCAGUAUUCUGGCGGGCACGCCUGUUCGAGCGUCAUUACGCCCCUCAAGUCCCCUGUGGACUUGGUGUUGGGGAUCGGCGAGGCUGGUUUUCCAGCACAGCCGUCCCUUAAAUUAAUUGGCGGUCUCGCCGUGGCCCUCCUCUGCGCAGUAGUAAAACACUCGCAACAGGAGCCCGGCGCGGUCCACUGCCGUAAAACCCCCCAACUUUUUAUAGUUGACCUCGAAUCAGGUAGGACUACCCGCUGAACUUAAGCAUAUCAAUAAGCGGAGGA